AUAUUAAUAAGCGGAGGAAAAGAAACCAACAGGGAUUCCCUCAGUAGCGGCGAGCGAGGCGGGAAGAGCCCAAGCUCUGAAUCUGGGCGUGCGUUGAGUUUGCGCCCCGAAUUGUGGUCUCGUGGCAAGGCAUCGCUGAGGCGACCGUGCUGGGCAAAAGUCCCUUGGAAAAGGGCGCCAGGGAGGGUGACAGCCCCGUCCACUUGGUUCAGCACUACCAGGCCGUCUCGAUCGCGCUGUUGCUCUUGCCCCAGAGUCGGGUUGUUUGGGAAUGCAGCCCUAAGCGGGUGGUAAAUCCCACCCAAGGC
RNAcentral lists this ribosomal RNA (308 nucleotides) under uncultured Acanthamoeba. Its description in RNAcentral is "partial large subunit ribosomal RNA". It matches the Rfam family "Eukaryotic large subunit ribosomal RNA", at positions 40 to 316 of the family's 3401-position model. The record is from RNAcentral. Lineage: Eukaryota; Discosea; Longamoebia; Acanthamoebidae.